This 373-nucleotide ribosomal RNA is filed under the name uncultured bacterium. RNAcentral describes it as "bacterial SSU rRNA". It matches the Rfam family "Bacterial small subunit ribosomal RNA", at positions 527 to 898 of the family's 1533-position model. The record is from RNAcentral.
GUAGGUGGCAAGCGUUAUCCGGAAUUACUGGGCGUAAAGCGCACGCAGGCGGUCUUUUAAGUUUGACGUGAAAGCUCCCGGCUUAACUGGGAGAGGUCGUUGAAGACUGGAAGACUUGAGGCAAUGAGAGGGGUGUAGAAUUCCCGGUGUAGUGGUGGAAUGCGUAGAUAUCGGGGGGAAUACCAGUGGCGAAAGCGGCACCCUAGCGUUAGCCUGACGCUCAUGUGCGAAAGCGUGGGGAGCGAACGGGAUUAGAUACCCCGGUAGUCCACGCUGUAAACGAUGAACACUAGGUGUAGGUGAUGUGAAAGUUAUCUGUACCGAAGCCAACGCGUUAAGUGUUCCGCCUGGGGAGUACGGCCGCAAGGCUAAA